UCCAGUGCAGCCAUAUCACUCUGCAUCUCACACGUAGCAACCCACUGAAGCUAAGCAGGUGUGAGCCUCUUCAGUACUUGGAGGGGAACCUCCUGAGAAAAACUAAGGUUGCUGCUGGAA
RNAcentral lists this ribosomal RNA (120 nucleotides) under Lepisosteus oculatus (spotted gar). Lineage: Eukaryota; Metazoa; Chordata; Actinopteri; Semionotiformes; Lepisosteidae. The record is from RNAcentral.